UAGGCAGGCUCUGUAAGGCUGUGGUCUUUCUGUCUCGUGUUUGACCUUCAGUCUGCAGGCCACGGGCAGGUCUGGAAGGCAGUGAAAGUGGAGGAGAGUAAGAGAAACUGGAACCCAUAAGCCUGAGCUGGAGCCCACAAGGACAGACUGGAACCUGGGAAGUCGAGGCAGCAUCUCUCCUGCCCAAGGGUCUGCUACCCUACCCAAGGGUAUUGCAACGUCUGCUCAGGUACCAGAAACGAGAGAGGGCAAGAGCCUCACCCCACGACUCAACCAGUUUGAGCCACAGCGCUGCCAGCCCAAGCUGGGACGGCUUCCGCCACGCCCCACACCAAGAUGCUGUGCGCAUGUGCUUCUGGCCCAGACCCAGCCGACGUAGGCGCCAGGGUGGACUCUAGACUUCUUGGAAGGUUGGCAGUUUGGUCCAGUUUGGAAGAUAAAGAAAACAAGGUGUGCGAGUUGCUUCCUCUGAAAUGACUGCUCCAACUUUAUUUCAAUAUGGCUCCACUCACGUCAUCUCUCACCAUUCAAUUCGGUAUUUAUUGAUAGGCAUUCAUUUCCUUAAGUAGUGAAGAACCGUCUUUAGCCAAGUGCUUUUCCUCAGCUGAUACACAGUCUCUUCUAUUUCUGGGUCUCAUGUGAAGUAACACUUUUUCAUGAUGACAAUCUAGGGGUAAUAAAAAGAGUGGAAAGAGGAGCAUAGGUAUUUAUCUUGUUUUGAUAAUUAUUUAACUUAGCAUUUAUCUUGUUUUGAUAAUUAUUGAUAUAUGGUGUUUUUUGAUAUAUGUGAUAAUUAUUAACAUAUAAAUAAUGUCAUUUUAUUAAUAUAAAAGUUAACUCUACCUUCCGGUUAUUCCCAACUCCUCUUAAUCAAAAGUUUAGGAAUGAGAUAAUAGUGAAAACUGGCUUGCUCCCCGCCUUUUUCAUGUAAUUGUUGCAUCAUUUCUUCCCUACAAAAUAUGGUUACCAUGGACAUGGUAAGGUGAUCAUUCUGAGGUCAACAGUAAAGAGAAAAUGGGAGAGAUAGAUUAGCACAAGAACAUGGUCAGAGGGUGCAGUUUCCUUUUAUGAGGACACGGGGUUAAGAAAUUAAGUAACAUAUAUUUCGAACCCCUCUCACAAGUGGAUGUUGAAUGUUAUUUUCCUAAAAUGUUAUAAACUUCAUUAGAUUAUUUAAAUUAAACUUCCAGUCUAUUACAAAUUAAAUGUUAAUAAUUCAGGCUAAUAUUAAUAAAAAGAGAGGUAAGUCAGGGCAAAAGAAAAUGUUCCCUCCACAAAAAAAAGAAUUUUAAUGAAAAGAGGACACAAGAAUCUUUAUUAUAAAAUAUUCAGUUAUUAUUAGCUUCUAAAUAAGUGCAAAUACAUGGAAAGGCUUAUGGUCAAAAAGUAAUAAUCAGUACUUUCUGCUCAAUUUUGCUGUGAAUCUAAAACUGCUCUAAAAAUAAAUUCUGAAAAAAUAAAAUAAAAUACUGAACUUGGGCAUGUUCAUGUACCAUUGGCCACUUAGAAAUCCUAUUCAUCCCCAUGCUGAAGUCAUGCCUCCCUUUCUUUAUGAGGUAGAGGCACAGUGUGCAAUGGUUAAGGAGGGGUGCUAAACUGGACGAUGUGAGUUCAAACCCUGGCUUCACCACUUUUAGCUGUGUGACACUGGGCAAGUUAUUUAACCUCUCUGCGACUUAGUUUUCUCAUUUGUAAAGUGGAGUGUACCAGUAUCUACUAUUGCAUAACACAUCACCCCAAAACUUAGUGGUUGAAAACAAUAAACAUAUUAUCUCACAAUUUCUUUGGGCCAAAAAUUCUGAAACAGCUUCAUUGGGUGGUUCUGGUUUGGGGUCUCUUGCAAAGUUGCUGUCAAGAUGUGAGCUGGGUUGCGGUCAUUAAAGACUGUCUGGGGCUGAGGCUUCGGAGAUGGCUCACUCAUGUGGUGCUGGUUGUUGGCUGGAGGCCUCAGUUGCUGCCCACUUGGGCUUCUUCGGGCUGCUUGAGUCUCCUCACAAGAUGGUGAUGCUUUAGCAAGAAUCCCCCUACCCUUCAUGUCUCUUAGGAAUUUUCCAUCCACUGAGCUCCCUUCACUCUGCUUGUUGGCUAUAAAACCCCAGCUGUCUUUACUGCAUUCAGAGUUAAGCUCAAUCCCUCAUCCCUAUUGCGAUAGUCUUGACACGGAUCACAAUAAAGUCUCUCUUGCCAUUCUAGCAAGUAUUAGAAUAAUUUUUUCUUUAACACACUCCAGGGCAGAGUCCUUUGUAAGUUACCUAGUUCCAGCUCAUGUCUACUGGUCCACAAAGCCCAGAGGUGUCUCCUGCAUCCUUGGCCUGACACACUCUGGGGGUGCAGGCCCAUCUCUUGGUUCUGCUGCUGAGUCAGGACAUGUAGAUUCUCCAGUAUUUUCUGCUCAGGGAGUCUGACAUCACCCUCCACAGCUCAAAUACCAAGGGCACAGGUCAAGCUCUCUGGUUUUCUUGAAGCUUCCUUUCACUUGGCUUAAAAUGAGGAAGAAACAACUCCUUCUCCCCGUUGGUGGAGGAUGGGACAUAUAGGCUUUUCUCUUUGUACCCUGAAGCUAGGUAGGUUGGCUAAUUCAGGCAGAACAGGUUUGGGAGCCACUCCUUUUGCAAGUCUGGCAUAGAUUAGCACUUAGCAUAAGGGUACCUAGCACCUAUUGUGCCCAACCUCCACCAAAACUCUGAGCCAAGGGACAUUAAAAUGGAUCAUGAGGGGAAAGCCAGUGACUGAAAACACUUCUAAGGUACUCCUUUCAAAGGGAGUGCCUUUUGAUCUCAAGUCCCUUGCUGGGCCACUGCCAAGAUGUGACUCUGGAUAGGAAAUUUAUACAUACCAAUUCCAAAGGUGUUUGUUAUUGUGAUGCAACAAGACAUUUGAAUGACCAGUAUUUUUCCUUGCCUUUGCACAAAUCUCGCACUUUUCAAAUAUGUCUGCUGUUAAUUGAAAAGAGUAAAAUGGGAUCUAUAUAAAUUAUACUCAAUCUAAAUGCUUUCAUAAUCAGUGAUGGUGGCCUUGUGUGUCAUGACUUACAUUCUCUAUAUUUGUCUUGGGUUGCUUGCUCAAUGAUGUAACACCACAUUCCUACAGUUCCCGUGUCUGCCCCUUACAGCAGUCUUUCUCUGAUGAGAUAAAUCUCACUUUCUGCAAUUUAAGAUAUUUUGUAAUUUGUGACUGGUUUCAUUCUCAAGAAUGUAUCUGAACAGUAAAUUCUAAGACAACGACCCUAAAAUAAUUGUUGUCAAUCCAGCAGUUUUUAACUUUUGAAGGGGAUCAGUAUAUGCCACCUCAAAAUAUACCACUUUGGCAUAUUGAUUAUUUCGAGCUGAAGGCAAUUGAGAAAUAGCAGACCCCGGAAGAGCUCUCUGCCCUCCUCCUUUCUGCCUCAGAGCAGGGCAUCCAUUUCCCUCUGUAAGGGUGACAUAACUUUGUAUUUGUAACGGUGUUCCCCUCUCCAGGAAAACUGAGAUGAGUCUGCAUAACAAACCUUGCUAAACAACCCUUAAUUACCAUACAUUUCUUAGUCACAAUUUAUUGCCCCUAGAGCCCAAACCCCCUUUCCUUGUUUACUCACUUCUCUACAACUUAUUGCCCUUUCUUAAAAUUAUAUAUAAGCCUCCAAGUCUAACUGCUUCUUUGGGUUUUCACUUCUUUUCUGUAAAGCCCUUGUGAACAUAAAAAUAUUAACAUCAAUAAAAAAAAGUAUACCUUUUCUCCUGUUAAUUAGUCUUUUGUCAGCUUAAUUUGCAUGCUCCAGUAAAAGAAUUUAAAAGUUUGGAAGAGAAGCUUUUUCUUUGUUACACUUUGGGUUAAUAUCCUCUUAAAAAUAACUGGAAAAAUAAAAGAUUUGGUAAAGAAUUAGGUUUUUAUUGAUGGAGUUCAGGACAUGCUACCCCACAAUGUGGCACCUUGACAUAGUGAUAUUUCAAGUUGAAGGAAUUUGAGAAACAGCUCUUGCAAGGAAGGAAUCUCCAAGUUUCCCCUGAAGCAGAUCAUAAAACCUAGGAAAGACUUUCUGACCUACAUCUGAAGUGGGUCAGAGGUGCCCUUCCUAAAUGCAGAGAAAAGGAAUGUCCCUAUCUCCAAAGACAAGGGGACAAGCAAAAACUCUGGUAACGUUCCCCCCGUUUACUACAUUUAACUUGAACACUUUGUCCUAUCAUAUAUUUCCAUGACUUUCCACUAUUUAUCAUAUCUAGCAUGAAAACACUCGGGUUUAACCAUUUCUUCAGGUCUUCAUUCCCUUAUGAAGGUUCUUCCUGUGUCACAUAAAACUUACAUUAAAUAUAUUUGCAUGCCUUUUUUUGGUUUAAAGUGAGUCACAAUAGUCAGCCCAGAUUCACGGGGGGAGGACACACAGAAGAAGUGUCAAAGAACUUCUGGAUAUGUUUUAUUUUUUAAUUCUUUUGAGAUUGGCACCUGAGCUAACA
Equus caballus (horse) is the source of this 4430-nucleotide non-coding RNA. NCBI's taxonomy places the organism in Eukaryota, Metazoa, Chordata, Mammalia, Perissodactyla, Equidae. The record is from RefSeq and is a predicted model, not a curated record.